RNAcentral lists this ribosomal RNA (460 nucleotides) under uncultured bacterium. Its description in RNAcentral is "partial 16S ribosomal RNA". It matches the Rfam family "Bacterial small subunit ribosomal RNA", at positions 338 to 795 of the family's 1533-position model. The record is from RNAcentral.
CCUACGGGGUGCAGCAGUGAGGAAUAUUGGUCAAUGGACGGAAGUCUGAACCAGCCAUGCCGCGUGCAGGAAGACGGCUCUAUGAGUUGUAAACUGCUUUUGUACAAGGGUAAACCUGAAUACGUGUAUUCCGCUGAAAGUACUGUACGAAUAAGGAUCGGCUAACUCCGUGCCAGUAGCCGCGGUAAUACGGAGGAUCCAAGCGUUAUCCUGAUUUAUUGGGUUUAAAGGGUGCGUAGGCGGAUUGAUAAGUUAGAGGUGAAAUGUCCGAGCUCAACUCGGGAACUGCCUCUAAUACUGUUGAUCUAGAGAGUAGAUGCGGUAGGCGGAAUGUAUGGUGUAGCGGUGAAAUGCUUAGAGAUCAUACAGAACACCGAUUGCGAAGGCAGCUUACCAAUCUAUAUCUGACGUUGAGGCACGAAAGCGUGGGGAGCAAACAGGAUUAGAUACCCGUGUAGUC